GAUAGCCUUUCGAAAGAAAGAUUAAUACCUGAUGGUAUGAUGAGAUUGCAUGAUAGCAUCAUUAAAGAUUUAUCGGUGUACGAUGGGGAUGCGUUCCAUUAGGUAGUAGGCGGGGUAACGGCCCACCUAGCCAACGAUGGAUAGGGGUUCUGAGAGGAAGGUCCCCCACAUUGGAACUGAGACACGGUCCAAACUCCUACGGGAGGCAGCAGUGAGGAAUAUUGGUCAAUGGACGAGAGUCUGAACCAGCCAAGUAGCGUGAAGGAUGAAGGUCCUGCGGAUUGUAAACUUCUUUUAUAAGGGAAUAAACCCUCCCACGUGUGGGAGCUUGUAUGUACCUUAUGAAUAAGCAUCGGCUAACUCCGUGCCAGCAGCCGCGGUAAUACGGAGGAUGCGAGCGUUAUCCGGAUUUAUUGGGUUUAAAGGGAGCGCAGACGGGUCGUUAAGUCAGCUGUGAAAGUUUGGGGCUCAACCUUAAAAUUGCAGUUGAUACUGGCGUCCUUGAGUGCGGUUGAGGUGUGCGGAAUUCGUGGUGUAGCGGUGAAAUGCUUAGAUAUCACGAAGAACUCCGAUUGCGAAGGCAGCACACUAAUCCGUAACUGACGUUCAUGCUCGAAAGUGUGGGUAUCAAACAGGAU
Molecule: ribosomal RNA, 638 nt
Filed under: uncultured bacterium
Lineage: Bacteria
Description: bacterial SSU rRNA
Rfam family: Bacterial small subunit ribosomal RNA
Source: RNAcentral